RNAcentral lists this ribosomal RNA (460 nucleotides) under uncultured bacterium. Its description in RNAcentral is "partial 16S ribosomal RNA". It matches the Rfam family "Bacterial small subunit ribosomal RNA", at positions 338 to 795 of the family's 1533-position model. The record is from RNAcentral.
CCUACGUGAGGCAGCAGUGAGGAAUAUUGGUCAAUGGGCGCGAGCCUGAACCAGCCAAGUAGCGUGAAGGAUGACUGCCCUACGGGUUGUAAACUUCUUUUAUAAAGGAAUAAAGUGAGGCACGUGUGCCUUUUUGUAUGUACUUUAUGAAUAAGGAUCGGCUAACUCCGGGCCAGCAGCCGCGGUAAUACGGAGGAGCAGAGAGUUAUCCGGAUUUAUUGGGUUUAAAGUGAGCGUAGAUGGGUUGUUAAGUCAGUUGUGAAAGUUUGCGGCUCAACCGUAAAAUUGCAAUUGAUACUGGCAGUCUUGAGUACAGUUGAGGUAGGCGGAAUUCGUGGUGUAGCGGUGAAAUGCUUAGAUAUCACGAAGAACUCCGAUUGCGAAGGCAGCUUACUAAACUGCCACUGACAUUGAUGCUCGAAAGUGUGGGUAUCAAACAGGAUUAGAUACCCCUGUAGUC